RNAcentral lists this ribosomal RNA (401 nucleotides) under uncultured bacterium. RNAcentral's name for it is "bacterial SSU rRNA". It matches the Rfam family "Bacterial small subunit ribosomal RNA", at positions 361 to 776 of the family's 1533-position model. The record is from RNAcentral.
AUAUUGGGCAAUGGGCGCAAGCCUGACCCAGCAACGCCGCGUGAAGGAAGAAGGCCCUCGGGUUGUAAACUUCUUUUGUCAGGGACGAAGCAAGUGACGGUACCUGACGAAUAAGCCACGGCUAACUACGUGCCAGCAGCAGCGGUAAUACGUAGGUGGCAAGCGUUAUCCGGAUUUACUGGGUGUAAAGGGCGUGUAGGCGGGACUGCAAGUCAGAUGUGAAAACCAUGGGCUCAACCCAUUGCCUGCAUUUGAAACUGUAGUUCUUGAGUGUUGGAGAGGCAGGCGGAAUUCCGUGUGUAGCGGUGAAAUGCGUAGAUAUACGGAGGAACACCAGUGGCGAAGGCGGCCUGCUGGACAAUAACUGACGCUGAGGCGCGAAAGCGUGGGGAGCAAACAGG